GGGCAAGAAGCGCCCUCCCACUGCACUGCCACGGGUGGCUUCAGCUGCAGGAAGCCGCGGCAACGGCGCUGGGGGAUAAACUUUUCUGUCACCUCUAAGAGAUUACACUCUCCAAGCAAUUUUAGUCCACAAAGAUCAUAAGAAACUCAGAAGCAUUGGAAGUGUUCAAGUCUUCACAAUGGGGGAAGUAAGAGGCUAUCUGAAAACAUAAGGGGACAAGUAAGCCUGGCUGUGGCUCAGAUCUGCUCUGUGGAAAUUCUUCUGUCUGCUGACUGUGCGCCUAAGGGCUCAGCUGUGAACUUGCCUCUGGUUUUCAUUUUUCUUCUGACUAAAGUGCAUCUUACCUGAGCACAACAGCUCUAAAGAAAAUUCAGUGUUUGAAAACAUCCAGU
Long non-coding RNA from Rhea pennata, 392 nucleotides. RefSeq lists it as uncharacterized. NCBI's taxonomy places the organism in Eukaryota, Metazoa, Chordata, Aves, Rheiformes, Rheidae. The transcript is spliced from 4 exons. The record is from RefSeq and is a predicted model, not a curated record.